AACUUGAGGAUUUUUGGACACCGAACCCGAACAUUUCAUUAAAAGUUCUGUUUCAGGUUCGGUGUUUGGUGAUUUAUUGGAGCUUUUUGAAAGGCUGCAGAGCAGGCAAUCAACAAGUGUUUAACUCUGUGCCCUUAGAAGCCAU
Molecule: long non-coding RNA, 145 nt
Organism: Bufo bufo (common toad)
Lineage: Eukaryota; Metazoa; Chordata; Amphibia; Anura; Bufonidae
Exons: 3
Source: RefSeq, a predicted model, not a curated record